Molecule: ribosomal RNA, 526 nt
Filed under: uncultured Veillonella sp.
Lineage: Bacteria; Bacillati; Bacillota; Negativicutes; Veillonellales; Veillonellaceae
Description: bacterial SSU rRNA
Rfam family: Bacterial small subunit ribosomal RNA
Source: RNAcentral
GACGAACGCUGGCGGCGUGCUUAACACAUGCAAGUCGAACGAAGAGCGAUGGAAGCUUGCUUCUAUCAAUCUUAGUGGCGAACGGGUGAGUAACGCGUAAUCAACCUGCCCUUCAGAGGGGGACAACAGUUGGAAACGACUGCUAAUACCGCAUACGAUCUAACCUCGGCAUCGAGGAAAGAUGAAAGGUGGCCUCUAUGUAUAAGCUAUCACUGAAGGAGGGGAUUGCGUCUGAUUAGCUAGUUGGAGGGGUAACGGCCCACCAAGGCGAUGAUCAGUAGCCGGUCUGAGAGGAUGAACGGCCACAUUGGGACUGAGACACGGCCCAGACUCCUACGGGAGGCAGCAGUGGGGAAUCUUCCGCAAUGGACGAAAGUCUGACGGAGCAACGCCGCGUGAGUGAUGACGGCCUUCGGGUUGUAAAGCUCUGUUAAUCGGGACGAAAGGCCUUCUUGCGAAUAGUUAGAAGGAUUGACGGUACCGGAAUAGAAAGCCACGGCUAACUACGUGCCAGCAGCCGCGGUAA